ACAGAAAGCCAAACACUCAUUCCCUUCGUACUUUCUUCUUCUCCACCCCCUGCAAAACUUUUAGUUCACCAUACCUCCAUCAAUCACCUCCAUCUCCGACCAACUCUGAGCACAGCUAACCUAUCAGAUACCCUAUGAAAUCAAACAACCUCCUAGCCUCUAUAUAUCUCCAUCAUAGCUUCUUCUCCACAUUAGUAACCCUAGAAGCUAGGGUUGAGAGAGAUAAGUCUAGGGUUGUCCUCAAUAGCUAAAAGAAAACAUCAAGUCUAGAAUUGCAGGGGGGGUUUGUCGGGAAAAUGCGUAUUGGUUAAUAUCAAACAACUUUGUCGUAUCGACACAAACAAACCCCUUUUGGUUACUUCACAUUUGGAUCAGUUUCAGUGAGACUUGGAUUUCGACUUACACCCACCUUGUCCUUGAGGAUCGACUCGUGCUUACCCUGUUUACAGACUCGACAUUGUAUACUUGCAGUUAGUACAAUUGUAGGCUUGUUUAUAGACCUACCAAGUUUUUGGCGCCGCUGCCGGGGACUCGGUAGCGGUGCAGCUAAAGUUUCUUCUUUACUUUACUGAUUUUUAGUAUAUUGUUUGUAUAUAUGUGUUAGAUCAUUGCAUCCUAUUGGUUAGUAUAGUUGUAGUUUUGAUUUUUCUUUCACCUGCAUAGUUAAAAUCAUCUAUCAGUGCAUUUUGCAGAUUAUCUAUCCUUAGUUUAACUUAGUUAUUUCCAUCAUCUGUGUAACUUAGUUUUGUAGUAUAAGUUGUAGUUUUUAGCUGUAACUUCCAUUUCAAUCAUAUAUUUGCAUUACUUCAAUCUUUUUGUUAAGUUAAGCAACUGGGCAUCAUUAUCUUCUACUGUAUAGUACAACUUGUUCCAUAUCACGCUUGAUGUUCUCAUCAUCUGUAGUUGUAGUUGUACUUUUAAAUUUUCUUUCACUUGCAUAAAAGUGCAUCUAGUUUCAGUUAAGGUACCUGCAUUAUAGUCCUGUAAGUUUUCCUCAGCAUAUUUGUUAGUUUUUCUUUUUGUUUCCUUUCUCAGUUCAUUGGUUAAUACAAUAUGUAGCUUAGUUAGUCCAUCUGUUCAUUUUUCAUGUUAAAUUUCUCUAUCAUCUUUUACCGUAGCUCAUCAAUCUAUUGUAGCUUUUCAGUUUGUUUUAACUCUGUAGCUUCUGUGAUAUAUAUCUAGCAUAAAUUUGUUGUAACCCUUUCAUAUCCCGUAGCACACUUUAAGUGAUCUGUGAGUAGUGUUUGUUAUUGCAAAACCAUCUGUACAUUUCCAUUAGUUGGUCAAUGUCAUCUUGUUACCGCCUGCUACUCAAUCUUAGACAUUUUCAUAACAGUUAAGUCACAUUGCUUGGUGUACUUGAACACUGAAUAUGCAAACCUGAUUUGUCACAUCACAGCUGCCUGUGCUUCCUUCCUGAACUCUCUGCACUUGAGAUGACUGAAUCAUAUGUUAGAUUUAAAUUACAGUCAGUAGCUGUCAAUUGGUUUACAUCGUAUUUCCGGGUCUGUAAAUUUCCAUACCACUUGAGUUACUUUGGUUGGUUGAGCAUAUGCCAGCAUAACUUAGAUUUUGUUAAGGAUUGUCUGUCACCUGUGUUUGGAGUCUCAGCAAGUGUGUAGCAGUUUUGUUAGUUCACUGAUACUCAAAAUCUUUAAUUACCCUGUAAAAUUCCAUUCAGCGCUAAUGCUCUCUUGUUUUUACUUCACCUAUACCAUUUCUGGGAACUAAAAUUCCUCUCUGAGUUAGCAGGUACCUGAAACUUCUGUCGUGUAAGCCAGAAAGAAAGAAAAGGAGAAGAAAAAGGAGCGGAAAAAAUCUGUGGAAGUGCCUAAACCCGGUUUAUACCGGCGAUAUCAUUCUCGACCUUUAAAAUAUUUGAUAACUUCCAUGAUUGCUUGUUAAAACUGCAGCAUCACUGUUUUGCAACGAAUCUCUGAGUUUUCGAUGAUCUGUCUUGAAUAUUGUACCUUGUUCACCUGGUAAACUAGUUACCUGAUUGAAAUUUUCUAUAAUCCUGUGAAGUUGAACAAACUCUUUGCGUAUUGAAGUUGUUAAUUCGUUGUGCAUCAAUUAAAUCUCAGUAGAACUAAAA
Long non-coding RNA from Papaver somniferum (opium poppy), 2095 nucleotides. RefSeq lists it as uncharacterized. NCBI's taxonomy places the organism in Eukaryota, Viridiplantae, Streptophyta, Magnoliopsida, Ranunculales, Papaveraceae. The transcript has 2 exons. The record is from RefSeq and is a predicted model, not a curated record.